GUAGCUGAUGGGAAACAGGUCAAUAUUCCUGUACCGAUGUGUAGUGCGAUGUGGGGACGGAGAAGGUUAACUCGGCCAACUGUUGGAUUAGUUGGUUCAAGCCUGUAGUCGUGCCUGGUAGGCAAAUCCGCCAGGCUUAGAUGAGGGGUGAUAACGAGGCAGCUUGCUGCCGAAGUGAGUGAUACCCUGCUUCCAGGAAAAGCCACUAAGCUUCAGCUACACACGACCGUACCGCAAACCGACACUGGUGCGCGAGAUGAGUAUUCUAAGGCGCUUGAGAGAACUCGGGAGAAGGAACUCGGCAAAUUGACACCGUAACUUCGGAAGAAGGUGUGCCGCAAGUCAGUGAAGUCCCUCGCGGAUGGAGCUAAAAGCGGUUGCAAAAAAUCGGUGGCUGCGACUGUUUAUUAAAAACACAGCACUCUGCAAAGACGAAAGUCGACGUAUAGGGUGUGACGCCUGCCCGGUGCUGGAAGAUUAAAUGAUGGGGUGCAAGCUCUUGAUUGAAGUCCCAGUAAACGGCGGCCGUAACUAUAACGGUCCUAAGGUAGCGAAACUCCUUGUCGGGUAAGUUCCGACCUGCACGAAUGGCGUAACGAUGGCCACACUGUCUCCUCCCGAGACUCAGCGAAGUUGAAAUGUUUGUGAUGAUGCAAUCUCCCCGCGGAAAGACGGAAAGACCCCAUGAACCUUUACUGUAGCUUUGUAUUGGACUUUGAACAGAUCUGUGUAGGAUAGGUGGGAGGCUUUGAAGUGUGGUCGCUAGAUCGCAUGGAGCCAACGUUGAAAUACCACCCUGGUGUGUUUGAGGUUCUAACCUAGGUCCAUCAUCUGGAUCGGGGACAGUGCAUGGUAGGCAGUUUGACUGGGGCGGUCUCCUCCCAAAGCGUAACGGAGGAGUUCGAAGGUACGCUAGUUACGGUCGGACAUCGUGACGAUAGUGCAAUGGCAUAAGCGUGCUUAACUGCGAGACUGACAAGUCGAGCAGAUGCGAAAGCAGGACAUAGUGAUCCGGUGGUCCUGUAUGGAAGGGCCAUCGCUCAACGGAUAAAAGGUACUCUGGGGAUAACAGGCUGAUACCGCCCAAGAGUUCAUAUCGACGGCGGUGUUUGGCACCUCGAUGUCGGCUCAUCUCAUCCUGGGGCUGUAGCCGGUCCCAAGGGUAUGGCUGUUCGCCAUUUAAAGAGGUACGUGAGCUGGGUUUAAGACGUCGUGAGACAGUUUGGUCCCUAUCUUCCGUGGGCGCUGCAGAUUUGAGAAAGCCUGCUCCUAGUACGAGAGGACCGGAGUGGACGAACCUCUGGUGUAUCGGUUGUCACGCCAGUGGCAUUGCCGAGUAGCUAAGUUCGGAAGAGAUAACCGCUGAAAGCAUCUAAGCGGGAAACUCGUUUCAAGAUGAGAUCUGCCGGGGCCUUGAGCCCCCUAAAGAGUCGUUCAAGACCAGGACGUUGAUAGGUCAGGUGUGGAAGCGCAGCAAUGCGUUAAGCUAACUGAUACUAAUUGCUCGUGCGGCUUGACCCU
RNAcentral lists this ribosomal RNA (1521 nucleotides) under metagenome. Its description in RNAcentral is "bacterial LSU rRNA". It matches the Rfam family "Bacterial large subunit ribosomal RNA", at positions 1411 to 2925 of the family's 2925-position model. The record is from RNAcentral.